RNAcentral lists this ribosomal RNA (586 nucleotides) under uncultured bacterium. Its description in RNAcentral is "bacterial SSU rRNA". It matches the Rfam family "Bacterial small subunit ribosomal RNA", at positions 338 to 916 of the family's 1533-position model. The record is from RNAcentral.
CCUACGGGAGGCAGCAGUGGGGAAUUUUGGACAAUGGGCGCAAGCCUGAUCCAGCAAUGCCGCGUGAGUGAAGAAGGCCUUCGGGUUGUAAAGCUCUUUUGUCAGGGAAGAAACGGCUGAGGUUAAUACCUUUGGCUAAUGACGGUACCUGAAGAAUAAGCACCGGCUAACUACGUGCCAGCAGCCGCGGUAAUACGUAGGGUGCAAGCGUUAAUCGGAAUUACUGGGCGUAAAGCGUGCGCAGGCGGUUUUGUAAGUCUGACGUGAAAUCCCCGGGCUCAACCUGGGAAUUGCGUUGGAGACUGCAAGGCUGGAGUCUGGCAGAGGGGGGUAGAAUUCCACGUGUAGCAGUGAAAUGCGUAGAGAUGUGGAGGAACACCGAUGGCGAAGGCAGCCCCCUGGGUCAAGACUGACGCUCAUGCACGAAAGCGUGGGGAGCAAACAGGAUUAGAUACCCUGGUAGUCCACGCCCUAAACGAUGUCUACUAGUUGUCGGGUCUUAAUUGACUUGGUAACGCAGCUAAUGCGUGAAGUAGACCGCCUGGGGAGUACGGUCGCGAAGAUUAAAACUCAAAGGAAUUGACGG